GUGAAGACUCACUCGCUGUUAUUUUCAUUUUUUAGCUCUUAUGAGGUAUUGUCUAUUAAUAAAGCGAAGACAUUACAAAUGGUGAUGCAUUAAAACUUUAUUAAAAGAAAAGUCAAGUAAUUUAUUUAUAACAUAUUAUACUGAAACUGAAAAUUCCUUCAAGCCUCAAGAAGCCCGAACUCAGCUGAGCAGACUCGGACACGGGGAGGAUUCCAAGUCUUUUUGUCACAUUUCCGGAUCUCAGAGGGUGAAGGUACUACAUGAAGGAGUAUGAGGACAUGGAGGAGUUUUGGAAAACAAACAGUAUGAUUUUACAGUACAAGAGGGGAAAUUUUAGCUUCAGGAGCUGACAAGGCCAAAAUAACAAACAGAAAACAACUAAUAUUCAAACCUCUAAAUUCCCUAGUUCAC
Molecule: long non-coding RNA, 411 nt
Organism: Cyprinus carpio carpio
Lineage: Eukaryota; Metazoa; Chordata; Actinopteri; Cypriniformes; Cyprinidae
Source: Ensembl